AGGUUAAGUAAAUAAGGGCGCACGGUGAAUGCCUUGGCACUAGGAGCCGAAGAAGGACGGGACGAACACCGAAAUGCUUUGGGGAGCUGUAAGUAAGCAAUGAUCCAGAGAUAUCCGAAUGGGGGAACCCACUAUCCGUAAUGGGAUAGUAUCCAUUAGUGAAUACAUAGCUAAUGAGAAGGUAGACGCAGGGAACUGAAACAUCUCAUUACCUGCAGGAAGAGAAAGAAAAAUCGAUUUCCUGAGUAGCGGCGAGCGAAACGGAAGGAGCCCAAACCAGUCAGCAUGCUGAUUGGGGUUGUAGGACUACGAUGUGAGAGUGAGUUUUAUAGACGAAUGGCGUGGGAACGUCAGCCAAAGAGAGUGAAAGCCUCGUAGUCGAAAUGGAAUGAGCCUCUAGUAGCAUCCUGAGUACGGCGGGACACGAGGAAUCCCGUUGGAAUCCGCCAGGACCAUCUGGCAAGGCUAAAUACUCCCUAGUGACCGAUAGUGAACAAGUACCGUGAGGGAAAGGUGAAAAGCACCCCGGGAGGGGAGUGAAAGAGAACCUGAAACCGUGUGCUUACAAGUAGUUAGAGCCCGUUUAUGGGUGAUAGCGUACCUUUUGUAGAAUGGACCGGCGAGUUACGAUAGCGUGCGAGGUUAAGUUGAAGAGACGGAGCCGAAGCGAAAGCGAGUCUGAAUAGGGCGAGAUAGUACGUUGUCGUAGACCCGAAACCAAGUGACCUACCCAUGUCCAGGUUGAAGGUGUGGUAAGACACACUGGAGGACCGAACCAGGGCACGUUGAAAAGUGCUUGGAUGAGGUGUGGGUAGCGGAGAAAUUCCAAUCGAACUUGGAGAUAGCUGGUUCUCUCCGAAAUAGCUUUAGGGCUAGCCUCGUUGUGAGAAUCCUGGAGGUAGAGCACUGUUUGGACUAGGGGCCCAUCUCGGGUUACCGAAUUCAGAUAAACUCCGAAUGCCAGAGAUUUAUAAACGGGAGUCAGACUGCGAGUGAUAAGAUCCGUAGUCGAAAGGGAAACAGCCCAGACCACCAGCUAAGGUCCCAAAGUGUCUGUUAAGUGGAAAAGGAUGUGGGAUUGCUUAAACAACUAGGAUGUUGGCUUAGAAGCAGCCACCAUUUAAAGAGUGCGUAAUAGCUCACUAGUCGAGUGAUCCUGCGCCGAAAAUGUACCGGGGCUAAACAGACCACCGAAGCUGUGGAUUGACGUGAAGAGCGUCAGUGGUAGGAGAGCGUUCUAAGGGCGAAGAAGCCAUACCGUAAGGAGUGGUGGAGCGUUUAGAAGUGAGAAUGCCGGUAUGAGUAGCGAAAGACGGGUGAGAAUCCCGUCCACCGAAUAACUAAGGUUUCCUGGGGAAGGCUCGUCCUCCCAGGGUUAGUCGGGACCUAAGGCGAGGCCGAUAGGCGUAGUCGAUGGAUAACAGGUUGAUAUUCCUGUACUUGUCACAACUGAUUGAGUGAUGGAGGGACGCAGGAGGUUGAAAGAGUCCACUGAUGGAAUAGUGAGAUCUAAGCAACGAGUUUGAAGAUGAGUAAAAUGCUUGUCUUUAUAAGAAUGAGUUGUGAUGGGGGCUUGAAAGGAAACGAGUAGAGUCUAUCUUAUCAAUCACACUGCCAAGAAAAGCUUCUAGCGAGGCUGUGACAACCCGUACCGCAAACCGACACAGGUAGUUGAGGAGAGAAUCCUAAGGUGAGCGAGCGAACUCUCGUUAAGGAACUCGGCAAAAUGACCCCGUAACUUCGGGAGAAGGGGUGCUGAUGGAAGCAUCAGCCGCAGUGAAUAGGCCCAAGCGACUGUUUAUCAAAAACACAGGUCUCUGCAAAAUCGAAAGAUGACGUAUAGGGGCUGACGCCUGCCCGGUGCUGGAAGGUUAAGAGGAGUGCUUAGCGCAAGCGAAGGUAUGAAUUGAAGCCCCAGUAAACGGCGGCCGUAACUAUAACGGUCCUAAGGUAGCGAAAUUCCUUGUCGGGUAAGUUCCGACCCGCACGAAAGGCGUAACGAUUUGGGCACUGUCUCAACGAGAGGCUCGGUGAAAUUAUAGUACCUGUGAAGAUGCAGGUUACCCGCGACAGGACGGAAAGACCCCAUGGAGCUUUACUGCAGUUUGAUAUUGAGUGUUUGUGUGACAUGUACAGGAUAGGUAGGAGCCUAAGAGGUGGGGACGUCAGUUUCCAAGGAGGCGCUGGUGGGAUACUACCCUUGUGACAUGAACCCUCUAACCCGAGUCAUGAAGACGUGACUGGAGACAGUGUCAGAUGGGCAGUUUGACUGGGGCGGUCGCCUCCUAAAGAGUAACGGAGGCGCCCAAAGGUUCCCUCAGAAUGGUUGGAAAUCAUUCGAAGAGUGUAAAGGCAGAAGGGAGCUUGACUGCGAGACGGACAGGUCGAGCAGGGACGAAAGUCGGGCUUAGUGAUCCGGUGGUACCGUAUGGAAGGGCCAUCGCUCAACGGAUAAAAGCUACCCUGGGGAUAACAGGCUUAUCUCCCCCAAGAGUUCACAUCGACGGGGAGGUUUGGCACCUCGAUGUCGGCUCGUCGCAUCCUGGGGCUGAAGUCGGUCCCAAGGGUUGGGCUGUUCGCCCAUUAAAGCGGCACGCGAGCUGGGUUCAGAACGUCGUGAGACAGUUCGGUCCCUAUCCGUCGCGGGCGUAGGAAAUUUGAGAGGAGCUGUCCUUAGUACGAGAGGACCGGGAUGGACACACCGCUGGUGUACCAGUUGUUCUGCCAAGGGCAUCGCUGGGUAGCUAUGUGUGGACGGGAUAAACGCUGAAAGCAUCUAAGCGUGAAGCCCCCCUCGAGAUGAGAUUUCCCAUCUGAGAAGAGUAAGACCCCUGAGAGACGAACAGGUAGAUAGGCUAGGAGUGGAAGUGCUGUGAGGCAUGGAGCGGACUAGUACUAAUCGGUCGAGGACUUAACCAAAA
This 2921-nucleotide ribosomal RNA is filed under the name Granulicatella sp. zg-ZJ. RNAcentral's name for it is "23S ribosomal RNA". It matches the Rfam family "Bacterial large subunit ribosomal RNA". The record is from RNAcentral. Lineage: Bacteria; Bacillati; Bacillota; Bacilli; Lactobacillales; Carnobacteriaceae. RNAcentral also lists the same sequence under 1 other name.